Molecule: ribosomal RNA, 505 nt
Filed under: Vibrio sp. HDEP19
Lineage: Bacteria; Pseudomonadati; Pseudomonadota; Gammaproteobacteria; Vibrionales; Vibrionaceae
Description: bacterial SSU rRNA
Rfam family: Bacterial small subunit ribosomal RNA
Source: RNAcentral
AGCCUGAUGCAGCCAUGCCGCGUGUAUGAAGAAGGCCUUCGGGUUGUAAAGUACUUUCAGCAGUGAGGAAGGUUCAUGCGUUAAUAGCGUAUGGAUUUGACGUUAGCUGCAGAAGAAGCACCGGCUAACUCCGUGCCAGCAGCCGCGGUAAUACGGAGGGUGCGAGCGUUAAUCGGAAUUACUGGGCGUAAAGCGCAUGCAGGUGGUUUGUUAAGUCAGAUGUGAAAGCCCGGGGCUCAACCUCGGAAUUGCAUUUGAAACUGGCAGACUAGAGUACUGUAGAGGGGGGUAGAAUUUCAGGUGUAGCGGUGAAAUGCGUAGAGAUCUGAAGGAAUACCGGUGGCGAAGGCGGCCCCCUGGACAGAUACUGACACUCAGAUGCGAAAGCGUGGGGAGCAAACAGGAUUAGAUACCCUGGUAGUCCACGCCGUAAACGAUGUCUACUUGGAGGUUGUGGCCUUGAGCCGUGGCUUUCGGAGCUAACGCGUUAAGUAGACCGCCUGGG